UGGGGAAUAUUGGACAAUGGGCGAAAGCCUGAUCCAGCCAUGCCGCGUGUGUGAAGAAGGUCUUCGGAUUGUAAAGCACUUUAAGUUGGGAGGAAGGGCAGUAAGCUAAUACCUUGCUGUUUUGACGUUACCGACAGAAUAAGCACCGGCUAACUCCGUGCCAGCAGCCGCGGUAAUACAGAGGGUGCAAGCGUUAAUCGGAAUUACUGGGCGUAAAGCGCGCGUAGGUUGUUUGUUAAGUUGGAUGUGAAAGCCCCGGGCUCAACCUGGGAACUGCAUCCAAAACUGGCAGGCUAGAGUACGGUAGAGGGUGGUGGAAUUUCCUGUGUAGCGGUGAAAUGCGUAGAUAUAGGAAGGAACACCAGUGGCGAAGGCGACCACCUGGACUGAUACUGACACUGAGGUGCGAAAGCGUGGGGAGCAAACA
Molecule: ribosomal RNA, 427 nt
Filed under: uncultured bacterium
Lineage: Bacteria
Description: partial 16S ribosomal RNA
Rfam family: Bacterial small subunit ribosomal RNA
Source: RNAcentral